This 148-nucleotide small nuclear RNA is filed under the name Sinocyclocheilus grahami. RNAcentral describes it as "U2 spliceosomal RNA (ENSSGRG00000017969.1)". It matches the Rfam family "U2 spliceosomal RNA", at positions 38 to 185 of the family's 192-position model. From Rfam's summary of the family: U2 is a small nuclear RNA (snRNA) component of the spliceosome (involved in pre-mRNA splicing). Complementary binding between U2 snRNA (in an area lying towards the 5' end but 3' to hairpin I) and the branchpoint sequence (BPS) of the intron results the bulging out of an unpaired adenosine, on the BPS, which initiates a nucleophilic attack at the intronic 5' splice site, thus starting the first of two transesterification reactions that mediate splicing. The record is from RNAcentral. Lineage: Eukaryota; Metazoa; Chordata; Actinopteri; Cypriniformes; Cyprinidae.
AUCUGUUCUUAUCGGUUUAAUAUCUGAUAUGUACCCUGCCCGGGGGACUGCAUAUUAAAUGGAUUUUUGGAUCACGAAGCUGGAGCUGGGGCUUGCUCCGUCCACUCCACACAUCGGCCUGGUAUUGCAGUGUCUCCAGAAACGGUGU